This 816-nucleotide small RNA is filed under the name uncultured Mortierella. RNAcentral describes it as "eukaryotic LSU rRNA". The stretch from base 547 to 816 matches the Rfam family "Eukaryotic large subunit ribosomal RNA", at positions 1 to 266 of the family's 3401-position model. The record is from RNAcentral. Lineage: Eukaryota; Fungi; Mortierellomycota; Mortierellomycetes; Mortierellales; Mortierellaceae.
GUUUAUGGCACUCUUUAAAAAUCCAUAUCCACCUUGUGUGCAAUGUUUGUUGGGAAAGUCUUUUCUUUCCCUUCAUAAAUAUCAACCUAUAUCUUUAACAACAUUCGUCUGAUAACAUAUUAUGAAUAUACUUAAUUCAAAAUAUAACUUUCAACAACGGAUCUCUUGGCUCUCGCAUCGAUGAAGAACGCAGCGAAAUGCGAUACGUAAUGUGAAUUGCAGAAUUCAGUGAAUCAUCGAAUCUUUGAACGCAUAUUGCGCUCUUUGGUAUUCCGAAGAGCAUGCUUGUUUGAGUAUCAGUAAACACCUCAACCUCUCUUUUUUGAUAAAAAAAAGGGAGGGUGGACUUGAGCUAUCCCAACGACCUUCACCGGUAGGCGGGCGGCUUGAAAUGCAGGUGCAGCUGGACUUUUAUCUGAGCUAAAAGCAUAUCUAUUUAGUCCUCGUCAAACAGGAUUAUUACUUUUGCUGCAGCUAACAUAAAGGAUAAUUGUCCUCUUUGCUGACUGAUGCAGGAUUUUACGACACUUUAUGUGUUGUUCAACUCGAUCUCAAAUCAAGUAAGACUACCCGCUGAACUUAAGCAUAUCAAUAAGCGGAGGAAAAGAAACUAACAAGGAUUCCCCUAGUAACGGCGAGUGAAGCGGGAUGAGCUCAAAUUUGAAAUCUGGCUGGUUUACUAGUCCGAGUUGUAAUUUAAAGAAGCGUUUUCGGUGGCAGCCUGGGUAUAAAUCCUUUGGAAUAGGGUAUCAUAGAGGGUGAGAAUCCCGUCUUUGACCUAGUGCAUGCUACUAUGUGAUACGUUUUCAAAGAGUC